GGAGCCCCACCACUAAGCCAGUGGUGAACUCCACAUACGCAUCCUUUGCUGAGGAUACGGUUAACGGAGCGAAAGCGACGUUCAACCGCAAAAGAAGCAGAGGGGGCUUAGUGGUGGGGUGACUGCGUACCUUUUGUAUAAUGGGUCAGCGACUUAUAUUCUGUAGCAAGGUUAACCGAAUAGGGGAGCCGGAGGGAAACCGAGUCUUAACCGGGCGUUAAGUUGCAGGGUAUAGACCCGAAACCCGGUGAUCUAGCCAUGGGCAGGUUGAAGGUUGGGUAACACUAACUGGAGGACCGAACCGACUAAUGUUGAAAAAUUAGCGGAUGACCUGUGGCUGGGGGUGAAAGGCCAAUCAAACCGGGAGAUAGCUGGUUCUCCCCGAAAGCUAUUUAGGUAGCGCCUCGUGAAUUCAUCUCCGGGGGUAGAGCACUGUUUCGGCUAGGGGGCCAUCCCGGCUUACCAACCCGAUGCAAACUGCGAAUACCGGAGAAUGUUAUCACGGGAGACACACGGCGGGUGCUAACGUCCGUCGUGAAGAGGGAAACAACCCAGACCGCCAGCUAAGGUCCCAAAGUCAUGGUUAAGUGGGAAACGAUGUGGGAAGGCCCAGACAGCCAGGAUGUUGGCUUAGAAGCAGCCAUCAUUUAAAGAAAGCGUAAUAGCUCACUGGUCGAGUCGGCCUGCGCGGAAGAUGUAACGGGGCUAAACCAU
RNAcentral lists this ribosomal RNA (714 nucleotides) under Salmonella enterica subsp. enterica serovar Dublin. RNAcentral describes it as "partial 23S ribosomal RNA". It matches the Rfam family "Bacterial large subunit ribosomal RNA", at positions 1 to 1190 of the family's 2925-position model. Lineage: Bacteria; Pseudomonadati; Pseudomonadota; Gammaproteobacteria; Enterobacterales; Enterobacteriaceae. The record is from RNAcentral.